AAGCACUUUUUUAGAACUCUUCGGAGGGAAGAGAGGGUGACUUACCGUGCGGACGGGUGAGUAACGCGUGGGCAACCUGCCUUACACAGGGGGAUAACAAUUAGAAAUGAUUGCUAAUACCGCAUAAGACCCCAGCGCCGCAUGGUACAGGGGUAAAAACUGAGGUGGUGUAAGAUGGGCCCGCGUCUGAUUAGGUAGUUGGUGGGGUAGAAGCCUACCAAGCCGACGAUCAGUAGCCGACCUGAGAGGGCGACCGGCCACAUUGGGACUGAGACACGGCCCAAACUCCUACGGGAGGCAGCAGUGGAGAAUAUUGCACAAUGGGGGAAACCCUGAUGCAGCGACGCCGCGUGAGUGAGGAAGUAUUUCGGUAUGUAAAGCUCUAUCAGCAGGGAAGAAAAUGACGGUACCUGACUAAGAAGCCCCGGCUAACUACGUGCCAGCAGCCGCGGUAAUACGUAGGGGGCAAGCGUUAUCCGGAUUUACUGGGUGUAAAGGGAGCGUAGACGGAAUUGCAAGUCUGAUGUGAAAAUCCGGGGCCCAACCCCGGAACUGCAUUGGAAACUGUAUUUCUAGAGUGUCGGAGAGGCAAGUGGAAUUCCUGGUGUAGCGGUGAAAUGCGUAGAUAUCAGGAGGAACACCAGUGGCGAAGGCGGCUUGCUGGACGAUGACUGACGUUGAGGCUCGAAAGCGUGGGGAGCAAACAGGAUUAGAUACCCUGGUAGUCCACGCCGUAAACGAUGACUACUAGGUGUCGGGAGGCAAAGCCUUUCGGUGCCGCAGCCAACGCAAUAAGUAGUCCACCUGGGGAGUACGUUCGCAAGAAUGU
RNAcentral lists this ribosomal RNA (829 nucleotides) under uncultured bacterium. Its description in RNAcentral is "bacterial SSU rRNA". It matches the Rfam family "Bacterial small subunit ribosomal RNA", at positions 59 to 897 of the family's 1533-position model. The record is from RNAcentral.